Molecule: long non-coding RNA, 7250 nt
Filed under: Mytilus galloprovincialis (Mediterranean mussel)
Lineage: Eukaryota; Metazoa; Mollusca; Bivalvia; Mytilida; Mytilidae
Source: RNAcentral
AUUUCAUAUAUAUAAACGCUUAAUGCAUUUGUUAACAAUUUGUGUGAUGCUGAUUUGAUUAAGACAUAUAUUCCAACGAUUUCAAUGUUAAUGAUAGUCUUCCAUGAUAAAGAUUUGCUUUCAACAACUGUUUGAAAUUCAAAGUUAUUAGUGUAUAUAAUAUGCAUGACGAAUCAUGGUAAGUUUUUUUUUAAUUUAUUUCUUUGUAUACUUUUAUUUCAUUGUGUAUUGUACAGGCUGAUAAUUUAUAAUGUCCCAAUUCAUCAGUUGUUUGGCAUUUCAGUGCAAAUUUUACUGCGGUCAUUUGUACUCGAUAUAACAGGGGAGAAAAAAAGUCAAGUUCAAACAGGGCACCAGUAAUAUAAAGUAUUAGUAUCAUACGGAGAUCGGGUUACUGUCAUGACUUACGCAUGCGCGUUACUUGUUUUCGUUAAAAUAAAUAAGUUGGUUAUAGUAGCCGGGGUUCGUUUUCUCUCAAUCGAUUUAUGACUUUGAACAGCGGUAUACUUUUGCCUUUAUUUAGGAUUUUCAUGAGUAGCAAUGUAACAACAGAGCAAAAACCAAAAGACAUCUCGAGGUCACCAAACAGUCUUUUACGCGUAUGUGUCCUAAGCUCUACAUCGCCCCGAGUCUCCAAGAAUUUCUUUUAUAUUUACCAGAGACUAUUAAAGAUCGUCUAUCAAUACCAAAUUCCCUAGAAGACAAAUAAGUAAGAUCAAAUGUAAACAGCCGCUGACAGGAUACGUGACUAAGGCCAGGUACAUGAAUAUAUGGCACGUUAAACUUGUUUUUACGACAUCGAUACCUCCCUAUUAAUCUCUAUCAGUGCCAUGAAAAAUAAAAAAAGUUACAUAUAAGAAUGCACCACAAGAAUCCGUACAGGGAAAGCACCUGACUAUGAUGCAUAAAAAAGACAACUACAAUCAAACAGUUAUAAAAAAAAAUGGCAGUCACAAGCGGGUGUCUUAACCUAAUAAUAAGACAUCAGAACAUCAUACGCUGUUCUACUAGUAAUUGUAAUUCGGUAAUACAGUAAUGUAAUAAAGUAGACACAUGAUCCAUUUGAAACAAAUUGAAUGUCUAGAACGUUUGCAGAAAGUUUUUGUUCUUUUGAUUUUGAAAUAAUAAAUAAACAAAGUAAUGUUAAUAAAUGAACUAAUUCUUUUCAAAACUUGACCCUUUGAAACGAUUCAUUAAAUAACUUUCUCAUUACUAGCUUUUAAUUAUUUCAUUAAGCUCAGUUUCAGCUAUAAAGUAUGUUAUUUUAGUCAAACAUUGGAUACCCUCAAACAACUGACAGAACAGUAUCGUUGUUCCUUUAUACACAUUAUACAGUUAUGGCCCUUUGAAAAGGUGAAUAUUCAAAAUUGUCAACACGCGAAGGUUAUAGAGAUAUCAUCCAUCAGCUGCUGGCACUAGAUUUAUGUUCAAAGCAUAUAUUUCCUCGUCUCUAGAUGGACUACCAGUGUAACGUGAACUCAGCCAUUUUUGUUUAAAUACGUAUAUGACGUCUUUUUUAUGACGGGUAACUCGUGUACAAAUCUAGAAACUCAAUAGGUUAUUCGCCGGUGAAUAAUAAUAUUAAUAGUGCACCGCUGGUGGGGGUUAUUCUUCCUUCCUAGCAAUUAAAUGAAAAUUAACUGAAUUAUUCCAUGACACGUGAUUACGUGUUAUCCAAUAUAAUGGUUUGUAAUAUAUGUAAGGUAUAAUAAUAUACAUUAUCCUCCACUAAAACCAGUUCAAUAUUGCUGAAUGAGUGUCUUUCACAAGAGAGGAAUCUCAGAAAUUCUUAGAGUUUUUUCCUAAUGUUUUUCGCCUUUUACAUUUUAAUGUUGAUGAGUCGUUGAUGGCAGAUGAUAAUUUAUCUUUUGAUUUCUUUUAAAACUUGACUGAAAUUUGAUUUUUUUCAGAGAUUGUUGGGUACAGAAGCUUCUAUUUUUUUUUUUAUAAAUAUUGAAGACUGUAUGCUGACCUCUUUUAAAUGUCUUCUUUUGUUUGAUUGAAUCUUAUCGGCGUUCGCCGCACAUCUCCUUUUAUUCGUAUGUACUACACAACAUCUGACUGAACCUUUGAUUACCUACCAUAUGCUUUCAAUGUAAAUAAAACUGCAGGUUCUAUAGAUAUAUAUUUCACACAUUUUAAUUAAGUCAAGUUUUGUUUAUAUUUUUACCAUGUGUGUUUGGGUUUAAUAGUCUUAUUAAUUGUCUGCUGGUUAUUAUUUUUUAACUGAAUCCAGGAGUAAACUUGUCCGCUCAUUUAGAUGUUUGAAGCUGGUAUGUAUAUGUCUGAAUCCAAAAGAUUGAUUAGGAUAUAGACUUAUCGGACCACAUAUGAAUUAUCACGUUGUGAUUGGUUAAACGCCGUCACGGGGUGACCCCCUAUGAGACCGUAUGGGGUUCAUGACGCGUUAAUGGCGACGUCAUCCAUUAAUGUUGUUGUUUAUUUUUCAACAAAACGCCGCAGAAAAAGUCCAGCGUCCGAUAAAUUCGUUACACGGUUAACUACUGACCCCCUACGGAUCCAUAGAGGGUGAAUACAAUGCAUAGGAGACUCGGCCUCCGGCCUCAACCCCCUAUGGAUUUUACUAACCCUCUAUGGAUCCGUAUGGGGUCAGUAGCGAACCAUAGAACUUAUAAUAGGCACACGGAUUUCCGGUAUUAAAACCUAUGCCAUGGGGCUUCAUUUUGACUGAGGGAAUGCUUAGUCAAAUGAUGUUCAAAUCUCAUAAUUCUCAUAAUGCCAUGCUGGACUUUUUAAUUAACAACAUAUUUGUUGAAUUAGGUUUGGUCUUUCAACCGACUAUUGGAAUCCCAAUGGAUACCAAUUGCGCUCCUCUAUUUGCAGAUUUGUUUUUGUAUUUCUAUGAAGCAGAAAUUAUUCAAGGGUUUGUAUACAGAAAGGAGAAAAGAAAUUAGCCCAGUUUUUUAAUUUCACCUUUCGGUAUAUUGAUGAUGUACUGUCUCUUAAUAAUACUAAUAGAUUCAGUGAUUACUUACAUUUAAUGUACCCAAGUGAGCUUGAAAUUAAAGAUACUACCAACACAGAUAAAUCUGCUUCAUAUUUAGACUUUUUUCUCCAAAUGACUACUGAUGGUAGGUUAAAUACCAAAAUUUAUGACAAACGCGAUGAUUUUAAUUUUCCUAUAGUCAACUUUCCAUUUCUGUGUAGCAACAUUCGAACGGCAUCAGCAUAUGGAGUAUAUGUGUCUCAAUUGAUACGUUACUCUAGAGAUAGCUCAAAGUACGUUGAUUUUGUUGAACGAGGAAUACUGCUUUCUCAAAAGUUGCUAUGAAUCAGUCAAAUUAGGGUCAUCACUCAAUAAAUUUUACGGUCGCCAUCAUGCGCUGAUUUGCCAUUAUGACAAAAGUGUGUCAGAAAUCAUAUCUGAUAUUCUUCCUCAGUCGUAGUAACCUUACCCUUCCGGAGCACCUGAUUUCACUCCCGGUUUUUAGUGGAGUUCGUGUUGUUUCUUAUUUAUUAUUUAUAACUGUUGAUGUAAAUGUCUUUUGGUUUUGUGAGUCUUUGUUUACUCCUUGGUUUUGAUUGUUAUUGUCUUCUUAUCAGAACAUACAAAUCAAGGUAAAAACACUCCGUAGGAAAUCAAACGAACUGCAAAAACUGGAUGCGCCUACAGGGUACGUGUCUUCUGCUAUAAAUACCUCACCCGCCGUUGAAAUCAGCACUUGUUCAAAUUAUCACAAACUGUAAAUUCACACAUCAGGCGACUAUUCUAGCAUCUUGUAAGAUCUAAACCGCGAAACAGAUCGCUAGUGAGUUGUGACACGAACACAUCAGUCAAUUAUGUGAAUUAACCAGUCAGUAUGCAUCCUGUCGAUUCUAUGUUGGCAUUGCAAACGGUCAUGCUUUAUCCCCAGACUACUUACGGUGUCCUAACUAUAAAGUUGGAUGAUUGAUUAUAUUUUAGUCUGGGAAACAUGGUAAAUUUAUCAUUAGAAAAAUUGGGCUUUGAACUAGAUUUGGUUAACUGCGAGUGAUCUAGAUUUGGUUGAUUCCGAGUGAACUAGAUUUUGUUAACUCCGAGUAUUAGAGGAUUCUGCACUUUGUCAGGAUUGUCAGUUUUUGUGAUAAAGUCGUGAUCUGAUGAACCUAGCCCUUUUCAAGUGACUUUUAGAGGUUUGUUCUAUUGUUGUACUCUUGCACCACUGUCAUAGUUUGGGAAGGUUGAGCACUCACAAACAUAUUUUGCCCAGUACAAUGGCAUGAAUCUGUUAACUUUAAGUCCUUUGCUGUGGAUAGUUAUCAACAACAUACAGUGGUAUACAAUUGAAUAUUGAAUAAUUGAAUGUAUUGAAUAACACAACUAAACCUGCAUGCUCUGAAGCAAAAUUUCUUUAUAUAUGAUCCAGGUGUUUUACUCUUGUUAAAAUUCGUAUGCUAAAAUAAAGAUAUCUUUUGCUAGACGAAAACCAUCUGAUUCAAUGAAAGUCCUAAGACGUUUUUUGGAUAUAUUGUAGAUCAUGACUUGAACCAAUCAUUUGAAAUUGAACUCAAAGCCAUUUACUGCAACUACAUGAGAGAUUUUUUUUAAUUCGUCAAAUAUGCAAUGGUCCGACAUAUGAAUAAGGUAAACAUCAGUGACAGUGUUGUGUUGACUUCUUAACACAUUACUUCUUCGGUUUACAUUUGUUGUAAAAUGAAAAAUGUCUGUGUCUGUAACGUCGAGCAAGUGAAAUUUUUUUGAUUGAUAAGAAUAAACCUAUUACUGAAAAUAAACAUUUUUUGUCAGGAAUAAAUUUUAUUAUUCUCAGUGAGACUUAUAUAUAAUACUCUUAAUACAAGUUAUAAAAUAUAAGAGACGAGUAAAUAUAGAUUUCAACAUUAUAGGAUUGUACAAUCAAUAAUGUGAAGGGUAAAAUGACGUCUGAAGCCCUUAUUGUCAUCUUAGUAUCCCAUGGUGUCAAUUAUACUUUUAUUUACCAGAAUUUAAUUGACGUUCAAUCAUAAACUACCUCGAUAUCAAGAUAUAUACAACUUAUUCUGAUGGCUUACAAGCUUUUUGAACUACGCUAAACUCUAAGGUUACAGACAAAUUUAUUUGAUAUACAAUUCCUUUAGAGUAAAGAAAGGAUUGCGUAUACUUAAUCAAAACUGUAUACUAAAUAUGAUAUUGCUUCUCAUUACCAUUAACAUCACAAUGUAGUAAAACCAAUUCUAAAUGGACCUGUCUGUUUGGCUUUGCAAGAUGUAAACAUACGCAGCCACGUAUGGCUGGAGUGGGGAUUUAAAUCUGAGAAUAUUUGCAAAUCCUAAGGUAAACAAUAAUUGCAAGGAAAAAAUCAUCUUCUGUCCUAAUUCACUAAUGUAUUGCUAAUUUGUACACGUCAUGAGUAUGAUGAUAUAUUUGCUAAACGGACUGACGACUAAAAACUUUACGUUUCCAUAUGUUCUCCUGUUUUGUUGUGUUGGGUGUUUCCGUGGCAUUGUGGUGAUAGAGUGUCAUGCUCUCUGUAUAGGUUAAAAAAUUACAAUAAUUGUUGGAUGUUCUACGUGACGUAUUGAAUGCAAAAUUUCUAUCUUCUAAGAGCAACAGUGCAAAUCCAUUUAUUCAUCCGUACCGACUCCCUUUUAUAACCUUCCUUACUGAUUUUUAUAAACAAUGGUUCUUCCUAAUGCAUAUGCAUGGCUUGUCGAGAACUUAUUAUCGUUUGAUGACAUGCUUUGUUGCAAGUUUAUAAUCAAAAAUUGGAAACGAAUUCUAAGUAACUUUUGAAUGCUAGAUUUGAUUAAAAGUUGUGUUGAGCUUCGCGUUGUGAUUCCCAUUAAAAUUGAAAUCAGUCUAUAAGUCAGUAUCUAUGAUAAUGACGGUUGUCUUAGUUUCACAUUCUAAAGAAGUAACAUAUUUUUCCCGCACUUUCUACAUAUAAAAGUAACGCCUGAACCAAGUCAGAAUGACAUUUAUUUUAACCGAUGUGGCUGCGUACUUAUACAUCCCACCCAGCCGUACAGACGCUUCGGCGAGGAUUUUACUGCCGGUCGGAAGAUAACCAAAGUGACCAUUUCUGUUCCCUAAUAGCCAUUGCUAUGACUAUGGAAUAAAUGAAGAGUGAAAUAUGCGCUGCAGAUGACAUCUAUCAUAUCGUUGCACCUUGUGUCACUACAGUUGGGUAUUUAUUUAAGUUGGUGUCUAUGCAAAAAUGGAAUAUUAACUUUUUCAAUAUAUGAGAAGUGAAAGAUGCAUUUAAAAGGAUCUUAAAAAAUAAAUUCGGCAUAAAAGUGACAACGACAUGGCAAAUAAUGAGUCUUGUGUUGACGUGCAUCUGGAAUACACAAUUAGAUAUAUUUGGAACCUACAGAAUAAAAAACAGUUGAAAAAAGUUUAUAGUAAAUAAUAUAGUUUGACCAUUUUCAAAAACGGAUCAAGCUUAUUUUAAAAUUCUUGGGAAUCAUACGGAGAAAGCCAGGAUUCGUCGUCAGGGAAAGUGAAAACAACAUAUUUUGUUUCGAGCAAAUUUGUUGAUGAGACUAGCUGUCAGGAACUGCAAGUACUCUCGUGUCUGUACAUAGUGUCGUUUCGUUGUUGAGAUGUACAAGUACCCGGCCACGUCCACUCUGUGUUGAUGUAACAUGUAUUCAUCUUAUGAGUUGUGCCUUUUUCAACAGAUUUUUUAUAGUUUGCUCUUAUGUUGUAUUGUUUCACCACUGUCCCAGGUAAGUGGAGGGUUAUGAUGCCGCUAACAUGUAUUUUCUCGCCACAUUCUAUUUGUAUGUUCCUGUCCCAAGGUCAGGAGUCUGUAAUUCGUGAUUUGUCUGAUACUGUGUUACAUAUUUGUUUUCAUUAAAGUUUUUUGUAUAUUAAUUAGGCCGUUAGUUUUCUCGUAUGAAUUGUUUUACAAUUGUCAUUUGGGGCAUUUUAAGGCUGAGUUUACGAUACGGGCUUUGCUCAUUGUUGAAAGCCAUGCAGUGACCUAAAUAGUUGGUAAUUUUUUGUCAUUUUGUCUCUAGUAAAGAGUUGUCUCGUUGGCGAUCAUACCAAAUUUUCUUUAUUUAUAUCCAACAAAAUAAUUCUGCAGUUACUAUAGUCGAAGAAAAAAGGUAUCGAAAGAAAGAUAGUAUAUAUUCCAAUGUCACUAAUAUAACUCAACUUUGCAAAAUUACGUAUAUUUCAAUUUUAUUAGAUGAUAAAAUGUAUUUUCAAAGUAUAAAGAUUCACUUGUAAAUAGUGAUUGAAUCAUUCAUAUUUAUGUUUGCAACAGUUCCUUGACCUACAAAGACAUAUUACAUCCCAGUGG